RNAcentral lists this ribosomal RNA (396 nucleotides) under uncultured bacterium. Its description in RNAcentral is "bacterial SSU rRNA". It matches the Rfam family "Bacterial small subunit ribosomal RNA", at positions 975 to 1375 of the family's 1533-position model. The record is from RNAcentral.
CAGGGUUUGACAUCCUGAGACCGCUCCUGAAAGGGAGUUUCCCGCAAGGGCUCAGAGACAGGUGCUGCAUGGCUGUCGUCAGCUCGUGUCGUGAGAUGUUGGGUUAAGUCCCGCAACGAGCGCAACCCUCGCCUUUAGUUGCCAUCAUUAAGUUGGGCACUCUAGAGGGACCGCCGGCGACAAGCCGGAGGAAGGUGGGGAUGACGUCAAGUCCUCAUGGCCCUUACACCCUGGGCUACACACGUGCUACAAUGGCGGUGACAGUGAGCAGCUAGUUCGCGAGAACGUGCUAAUCUCAAAAAACCGUUCCAGUUCAGAUUGCACUCUGCAACUCGAGUGCAUGAAGGUGGAAUCGCUAGUAAUCGCAGAACAGCAGGCUGCGGUGAAUACGUUCCC